AAAAGAAUAAGCUAAAUAAGCUAUUGGGCUCAUACCUCAAUUAUAAAGGUUUUAACCCUUUUCCUUUUA
Molecule: transfer RNA, 69 nt
Filed under: Aphthona lutescens
Lineage: Eukaryota; Metazoa; Arthropoda; Insecta; Coleoptera; Chrysomelidae
Description: tRNA-Met
Rfam family: tRNA
About the family: Transfer RNA (tRNA) molecules are approximately 80 nucleotides in length. Their secondary structure includes four short double-helical elements and three loops (D, anti-codon, and T loops).
Source: RNAcentral